UGUAUUUUUUUCCACUAAAUUAAAAAAUGACGGUGUAAAAAAUUAUUUUGGAGUGUUGGCUACUUGCGCAGUUCCCAGUUCCCAGAUCUCUCACUAAUCAAAUUUCCCUCGCACAUUGACCUAUCCCUCCAUCGAUGAAAGAUUGAUCCAUCUGCGGCGAUUGAAGUCCUGCGGUCGUAAAAUACUAGGUUGAGGCAAGGGCCCAUCUUCAAUUCUUAAAGUUUUAGCCAUUUUUUGCUAUUGAAGCCAAGCUAAAAAAAAUUGAAGCUCUGCCCAAAUUUCAAGUUGAAGGUGGGAUUCAUACGACUACUUGAGCACAGCCACAGGUUCCAUGUACUACUAUCAUGGCUAUGGGGCGUCUCAAUAGGCCAAGUAUCAUGAUAUAUAUACAUCGUUGCAGCCUGCUCAUUUUCAAGGACGUACCUUUGAUAUUUCAAAAGCUUUAGAGGUCUGUUGGUCUAGAUUUGACUCUCAAUGACUUUCAGAAGGUUAGUGAAAAGAUUUCACUGCUUGCAGAUCUUAAGCCGAGUGGUAAAUAUAUAUGUCAUGGAAGCUUUACACAAGUUAAGUUUAUAGCUUCUCUCAGUUAAUAUAGUGAACACAUUCUUGGUCAAUGCCUAGGCAAAUGCAGAUUGGUGGUACUCCUGCACUUAUUUGUCACCUUGAACUGGGAUACUUGGACUUGUGUUAUUUUAAAUCAUUCAUUUGGUCCUAGUCAAACCCCAUCAAGAAAACACGGCAUAUCUAGAUAAUAUAUAUGAGGAGAUUAUGUAAGGCUGUUGUAGUGGGCUCUCUGUUGUUGUUACAGGUGCUUGCUGUGGCUUGCAGGUGUGGUGCACUGGUAUGGCUGCAGAUUCUGGUGUAAUUUUGCUGCACUAUUGUUUCUGCACUGAUGUUCCGUGCCCUGCUGCUGCUGGGUUUUGCAGCUGUUUCGUGUAGUGUUGAUGCGUUUUGUUUCCCCGAUGGUGCUGCUGGUUCUGCUUGUAGUUGUAUCUUUUAUUCUGCUUUUUUUGCUGCUUGUAUUAUACGUAGCUUCUAUGUUCUAGCUGUAUCUUUUUGCUGGUUGUGUAAUUUGUCAGUUUGGGAUGCAAGUUGUAAUUUUUCAGUUUAUUUCUUUGGUUUGGAUAUAUAUUACGUGUAUUAAAUACUUCCUUUUGGUAAUAUAUUUUCUCCAUUUUACCAAAAAGUAAAAAUAAAAUACACUUUCGGUGCCA
This is a long non-coding RNA of Spinacia oleracea (spinach), 1214 nucleotides long. RefSeq lists it as uncharacterized. The transcript has 4 exons. NCBI's taxonomy places the organism in Eukaryota, Viridiplantae, Streptophyta, Magnoliopsida, Caryophyllales, Amaranthaceae. The record is from RefSeq and is a predicted model, not a curated record.